UGGCACCCCAACGGGGGACUCAAGAAUGGGGGACUUCGUGAGGGAUGCUGUUCAUGGGCCCAAAGUAGAAAAAGAAAAUAGAAGACUUGGCAACAUGAGAGCCUGCCACACCGCUGAACCUCAGUAAGUGAACAGCGAUUAUGGGACAAGAAAUUAGCCAGCAUGAGAUUUUUGCUGAAAGUUUAGAAAGGCCUUAAAGACAUGAAGAGUAAAGGAAAAAAUUAAGCAAUUGUGUUCAUUAGGGCUUAAUAAACUUUUAUCU
Cavia porcellus (domestic guinea pig) is the source of this 262-nucleotide regulatory RNA element. It matches the Rfam family "Mason-Pfizer monkey virus packaging signal". Rfam says of the family: The packaging signal is located in the 5' UTR and is required for specific RNA encapsidation. Lineage: Eukaryota; Metazoa; Chordata; Mammalia; Rodentia; Caviidae. The record is from Rfam.